This 72-nucleotide transfer RNA is filed under the name Premnas biaculeatus (spinecheek anemonefish). RNAcentral's name for it is "tRNA-Thr". It matches the Rfam family "tRNA". From Rfam's summary of the family: Transfer RNA (tRNA) molecules are approximately 80 nucleotides in length. Their secondary structure includes four short double-helical elements and three loops (D, anti-codon, and T loops). The record is from RNAcentral. Lineage: Eukaryota; Metazoa; Chordata; Actinopteri; Pomacentridae.
GCAAUAGUAGCUCAGCCCCAGAGCGCCGGUCUUGUAAGCCGGAUGUCGAAGGUUAAAAUCCUUCCUACUGCU